Molecule: long non-coding RNA, 1551 nt
Filed under: Salmo salar (Atlantic salmon)
Lineage: Eukaryota; Metazoa; Chordata; Actinopteri; Salmoniformes; Salmonidae
Description: lncRNA (ENSSSAG00000103278.1)
Source: RNAcentral
GAACAAUGUAAAUAGAUUAUUUUUUUUACUUUUCGCCGUGACUCCCCCCGCGCUACUUUUUAGUAGCCUACCGAGCGCUAACAACUUGGAGUUAUUGGGACAUCAAUUAUGAACUUUGUUGAAAGAAACCACAUUUGCAGUGGACCUGGGAUGCGUGGAAUUGCCAAUAGAUGAAGAGAAUCAAAGUGUCUCAUUACAAUCAAGCUCUUCUCUCCUGCGACACAGUCAGUGUGAAGGCCCACCAGCUGCUGCUCAUGGUUCUAUUUUCUUUUCCCCUUUUUAGUGUCAGCUGAUAUACUGUUGAGAGGGUAGACAAAAAAGAGGAGGCUGUGUGUGUGUGUGUGUGUGUGUGUGUGUGUGUGUGUGUGUGCGUCGUGCGCGUGCCAUGGAUGAUAUACUUAAGCAAUAAGCCACGAGGGGGUGUGGUAUAUGGCCAAUAUACCACGGCUAAAGGCUGUUCUUAUCUGCGACGCAACGCGGAGUGCCCUUAGCCGUGGUAUAUUGCCGAUAUACCACAAACCCCCGAGGUGCCUUAUUGCUAUUAUACAAUGGUUAUCAAUGUAAUUAGAGCAUUAAAAAUACAUGUUUUGCCAUACCCAUGGUAUACGGUCUGAUAUACCACAACUGUCAGCCAAUCAGCAUUCAGGGCUCGAACCACCCAGUUUAUAAUUUACUGUAGAUGGGGCAAUACAGUGACUUCUUCCCAAUCCCCAAUGUAAUAGGCAUGAACUCUCGUUCUCCCUAUAUCUCACACGGGCCUGUAUGCACACACACACUGAACAGGCAACCUUAGCUGGGUAUGUUAUUAACGUACUUCUGUGGUGACAAGACAAAGCGCUAAUUAUUAUUCUACAGCUAGGGUUAAAGACCCCAGCUGCAGCUAGGCCCCUAUGUUAUUACACCUCAAACCCCCCCCACACACACACACACACACACACACACUUCCUCAGUCCCAACACUUGCCAAAUCAGCUUGCAGUUCCAACACAAAGAACUUUAGGAGCUCCAAGUGCCUAUUCACCCAGUGGAUCUCAGAGAUGCACUAGGGGCUGGGUUUUGGGUGGUGUGUGUGCAUGCAUGCGUUCGUGCGUGUGGCUGUGUGGCCUCUUGAAUUGGAGUUGUAGGGGACAUUCAUCCAUAGAGCCAUCUCAUUUGCUCAGUUGGUUACGCGUGUCACACUUAACUUUCCCAUCCGUCACUUUUUCCACACCUCCCGAACCCACCCCCAAGCCACGCCCCCACUGUGCGCCCAGUUCAGAGAUUGAGUUACGUGACAUUACAGAGAGAGCUCUCAAUUUGACUUUUCAAGCAGGCAUGCGUUCCCAUAACGAUGAGGGGCGACAUGGGUUCCCAUUACAAUGAACAGACACGCAUGUACAAACAAACACAGUCACGCAUACGCACUCACACACAGGCACAUAGAGAUACAUAGUCAUGCAUGUGCACUCAUAUACACACACACAAAUGAAGACCUCCAACCCUAGAGAUGCGGAAUGUGUGUGGUACUACCUAACAUUCCUUAACCAGCUCAGGGUAAAGACAAAAGGACUGG